RNAcentral lists this long non-coding RNA (2208 nucleotides) under Zea mays. RNAcentral's name for it is "long non-coding RNA (ZMAY_LNC005327)". Lineage: Eukaryota; Viridiplantae; Streptophyta; Magnoliopsida; Poales; Poaceae. The record is from RNAcentral.
GUGCCUCGCCACGAGCUCAACUCGUCGUCCGCCGUCGUCGCGAGGUGAGCUUCGUCUACCCCGGUCUACCCUUCGUCUACCCCAGCGCACGUCUCGCCUGUGCUCUUCGUGCGUCGCCGUUCGAGCGAGUCGCGAUUCUCGCGCUUUAAUAAAAUUGGUUCGCCACAUCGUUCAUUUUAAAUAAUUUAUUUUGGUUUAGUGGUCGGUUAUUAAAAAUAGAAAUUCAAUUGAAUCUAAUUUAUAAUUUUAUUUUCUUGUGUGUAAAUACCUGUUAUCGUGAUUAUACCAACUUAAAUGUUGUAUUCAAUAUUUGGUUAAUAUAAAACGACACAAUUUAGUAUCAUUCAUAUAUCGCGUCGUUUAUUAGCCACGAGUUGUUAGUUAUUCCAUAUAUUUGCGUCAUGUACCUAUUUCUAACCGUUCAGUUAUGUUAACUUUAUAAUAACAACGUCUACGUCUACACGUUAGAAACAUAUUGUGUCAUGACGCAUGUUGCACUAAUGUAUUAAAAGAUUAUGUUUAUGUGAUUGUAAUUUAAAUAGCAAUUUAAUUAGAACUAAUUUAUAGUUUUAAGUUGCGUUUUUUAAUACAUGUUAACAUGAUUAAUCCCAUACUGAAAUAUUUUGAAUUAAUACUUGUUAAGUAUAAUCACGACAUCUAUUAGUGGUGCUCGUGUGUCGUGUGUGAUGUUUAUGAGUUAUUCGCGUGUGUUGUCUCGCGUGUAUCUUGCGUGUCGAUCACGUGUGUCGCGCGACGUCUGCGCGUGAUAAUAAAUUAUUUUCGUUUAUAAAUACUCAUGUUAGUAACCUUAAUUCGUCGGGUCACAUAUUUUAGAUAAUUAACUUAAGGCUUGCUUGACUAAUAUUUAUUAGAUUAAUAUUCCAGUCGGAUUAAAUGUAUAGUGUUCAACUUGUGCUUUUAUAAUAAACAUUAACAUAGCUAAUAUUAACUUAACUAUUUUUUAUUUAUUUAAUAUUUGUUUAGUAUAAAUGCAUCCUCUAUUUAGUACUUUCUCGCAUGUCGCGCGUGCUGUUCCGCACGUGGUGGCGUUCUCGUUCGCGCUGAUCGCGCGCGUUGUUUUGUGUGUCGUCGGCGUGCUAUGUCGCGCGUGUCCGUGAGUCGUUUGCAAGUUGUCGUAUUGGGUUCGCCAUCGUCAUGUUGUCCGCGCGUUCCGCACGUGGUGUGCGCGCUAGGUCGCGUGCAGUCGUGUUGUUUCACGCGUUACGUCUCACUCCGCUAAUUCGUCCCGCUUAGAGUCACUUGUAUUAUUUAAAUUACUUAUUUAACUAAGAAUUGUUAGUGUGAUCAGUUAAUUAAAAUUAUGUGAUAGCUCUAGUUUCAUUUUAAAUAAAUAUUGAUUAAUAUAAUCUUGUCGAAUGUUAUAGUUAAUAUUUAUUUAGUGUAAACGCGAUAACUUCUCGACCGUAGCUCCAACUAUCGCGUUUCUUUUUCCUCGUGUGACCGUAGUAACACGCUCUAUUUUGUUUUGCAUGUUUUAUGAUGUUUUGAUUUGAAUGAUGUAAUGUUCUAAUGUAUAUAUAUAUAUAUAUAUAUAUAUAUAUAUAUAUAUAUAUAUAUAUAUAUAUAUGUCUGUUUGUUUGUUUGUGCCAGUAUAUAUUCGCUAUGCGUCACGAAUAGAUUGUGACCCGUUUCCGAGCUUCAAGGGAUCAAAGGUCAAGCUUUGGCGACCAAGCGAUCUGGCUCUUCGAGUUCCACAAAGUUGAAGACCCUGAGCAUCUGUUUGGUGAAGGCAAGUGUCCUCUGACCUAUUAUGUCCUAUAUACUAAUUAUUGGUUGCCUUCGUCUUCCGAAGGUCCUCAAAACAUGACUAACAUGCUUUCCAAGUAUAAUAUAUUGUCACAGGAACCUUCGGCCUUGAGAUGAAGGUGUGCACGGUAUGAAAGACGCGGUCUAGGAGAAGGAUGAACCAGUUCCGAAGCUAUGAAUGAAGAAGCUUCGGCUUAGGGCAAGGGCAGCGAUGGAAAAUAGAACCGACCUAAAGGGGAAUAUACUGCCCAGUUCUCGACAGAUUACUUCUUAGUCAGUAGUAAGUGUCAAGGACAUGGAUGUAAUUUUACCUAGGCUGCGUCCUGUGCCUAUAAAUAGAUGAACAGUAACACCGUACUGUUCAUGCUGACUUAUACUCACUUGCACAUCACUCCUGGAUUUUUACCUUCUGCCAAGCCGAAGGUACAAAUGUAAUUCAAU